RNAcentral lists this ribosomal RNA (253 nucleotides) under uncultured bacterium. RNAcentral describes it as "partial 16S ribosomal RNA". It matches the Rfam family "Bacterial small subunit ribosomal RNA", at positions 524 to 776 of the family's 1533-position model. The record is from RNAcentral.
GACGAACCGUCCAAACGUUGUUCGGAAUCACUGGGCUUAAAGGGCGCGUAGGCGGGCCAGCCAGUCCGGGGUGAAAUCUUUCGGCUUAACCGGAAAAGUGCCUUGGAUACUGCUGGUCUAGAGGGAGGUAGGGGCAUGUGGAACUUCUGGUGGAGCGGUGAAAUGCGUUGAUAUCAGAAGGAACGCCGGUGGCGAAAGCGACGUGCUGGAUCUCUUCUGACGCUGAGGCGCGAAAGCCAGGGGAGCAAACGGG